Molecule: ribosomal RNA, 435 nt
Filed under: uncultured bacterium
Lineage: Bacteria
Description: partial 16S ribosomal RNA
Rfam family: Bacterial small subunit ribosomal RNA
Source: RNAcentral
AACGAACGCUGGCGGCAUGCCUAACACAUGCAAGUCGAACGGGUACCUUCGGGUGCUAGUGGCGCGCGGGUGCGUAACGCGUGGGAAUCUGCCCUUGGGUUCGGAAUAACUCAGCGAAAGCUGUGCUAAUACCGGAUGAUGUCGAAAGACCAAAGAUUUAUCGCCCGAGGAUGAGCCCGCGUUGGAUUAGCUAGUUGGUGGGGUAAAGGCCUACCAAGGCGACGAUCCAUAGCUGGUCUGAGAGGAUGAUCAGCCACACUGGGACUGAGACACGGCCCAGACUCCUACGGGAGGCAGCAGUGGGGAAUAUUGGACAAUGGGCGAAAGCCUGAUCCAGCAAUGCCGCGUGAGUGAUGAAGGCCUUAGGGUUGUAAAGCUCUUUUACCCGGGAUGAUAAUGACAGUACCGGGAGAAUAAGCUCCGGCUAACUCCGUG